Molecule: ribosomal RNA, 684 nt
Filed under: uncultured Bacteroidota bacterium
Lineage: Bacteria; Pseudomonadati; Bacteroidota
Description: bacterial SSU rRNA
Rfam family: Bacterial small subunit ribosomal RNA
Source: RNAcentral
GACGAACGCUGGCGGCGUGCCUAACACAUGCAAGCCUGGGAGAAGAGAGUAGCAAUACUUUUUGUAAACCGGCGCACGGGUGAGUAAUAUAUAGGUAACCUGCCCUUUGGUUUGGGAUAACUCGUCGAAAGGCGAGCUAAUACUGAAUGAUGCAGCGGCUCCACAUGGAGAUGUUGUUAAGGCCUUCGGGCGCCAAGGGAUGGGCCCGUAUCCCAUUAGAUAGUUGGUGAGGUAACGGCUCACCAAGUCAAUGAUGGGUAGCUGAUCUGAGAGGAUGAUCAGCCACACUGGAACUGAGACACUGUCCAGACUCCUACGGGAGGCAGCAGUGAGGAAUAUUGCGCAAUGGAUGAAAGUCUGACGCAGCGACGCCGCGUGGAGGAUGAAGGCCCUUUGGGUCGUAAACUCCUGUAGAGUGGGAAGAAUAUCCCUUUUGAAGGGUUUGACGGUACCACUAAAGUAAGGAUCGGCUAACUACGUGCCAGCAGCCGCGGUAAUACGUAGGAUCCGAGCGUUGUCCGGAAUUACUGGGUGUAAAGGGAGCGCAUGCUGGUCUAUAAGUCGACGGUGAAAUCUUCCAGCUCAACUGGAAAACUGCCGCCGAUACUGUASAUCUUGAAUAUGUCAGAGGGAAACGGAAUUCAUGGUGUAGCGGUGAAAUGCGUANAUAUCAUGAAGAACACC